RNAcentral lists this transfer RNA (71 nucleotides) under Endomicrobium sp. RNAcentral describes it as "tRNA-Gly". It matches the Rfam family "tRNA". Rfam says of the family: Transfer RNA (tRNA) molecules are approximately 80 nucleotides in length. Lineage: Bacteria; Pseudomonadati; Elusimicrobiota; Endomicrobiia; Endomicrobiales; Endomicrobiaceae. The record is from RNAcentral.
GCGGGCGUAGUCUAGUGGUAAAACCCCAGCUUCCCAAGUUGGAGAUAUGGGUUCGAUUCCCAUCGCCCGCU